This 72-nucleotide transfer RNA is filed under the name Trichobilharzia regenti. It matches the Rfam family "tRNA". From Rfam's summary of the family: Transfer RNA (tRNA) molecules are approximately 80 nucleotides in length. Their secondary structure includes four short double-helical elements and three loops (D, anti-codon, and T loops). The record is from Rfam by way of RNAcentral. Lineage: Eukaryota; Metazoa; Platyhelminthes; Trematoda; Strigeidida; Schistosomatidae.
GCUUUGGUGCCUCAGUGGGAGAUUGCUUGCCUAUCACGCAUGUGGUCCAGGGUUCGAUUCCCUGCCGAUGCA